Molecule: ribosomal RNA, 253 nt
Filed under: uncultured bacterium
Lineage: Bacteria
Description: partial 16S ribosomal RNA
Rfam family: Bacterial small subunit ribosomal RNA
Source: RNAcentral
UACGGGGGGGGCAAGCGUUGUUCGGAAUUACUGGGCGUAAAGGGCGCGUAGGCGGCUUUUCAAGUCGGGCGUGAAAUCUCCGGGCUUAACCCGGAAGGGUCGUUCGAUACUGUUGAGCUAGAGUGUGGAAGAGGCAACUAGAAUUCCGUGUGUAGCGGUGAAAUGCGUAGAUAUACGGAGGAAUACCUGAGGCGAAGGCGGGUCUCUGGGCCGAUAUUGACGCUGAGGAGCGAAAGCGUGGGGAGCGAACAGG